This 1970-nucleotide long non-coding RNA is filed under the name Bos grunniens (domestic yak). RNAcentral's name for it is "lncRNA (ENSBGRG00000003293.1)". The record is from RNAcentral. Lineage: Eukaryota; Metazoa; Chordata; Mammalia; Artiodactyla; Bovidae.
AUGUAUUUAUGCACACAAAGGUGCGAGCAGCUCUUUUCCCAAACAAAUGUCCAUAUGAUGCCUGCGCCGCGCUCUCCGCACAUGCUCACCGCGUGCGUGUGGCCCGCCGGCCGCGCCGCGCUGCCCGGGUGCGCGCGGGGCCAGGCCGCCCCCGACCACGCUAGAGCCCGGCCGGCCUCCCCGGGAAAGUUAACCGGCGCCUCCCCGCCCCCACCCGGCCCGGAGGCGCCCCGCACCCGGCGGCGCGCGGCGGUGGGGGCGGGGCGGCCGGGGGCCCGGCGGCGCCUGGGAGCGCCCGCGGGUCUUGCUUUCUUUUUAAACGCCUGCGCCGCACCCGCCCAGCCCCCAGCGCCGCCGCGGCGGGCGGGAGGCAGAGGAGCGGGGCCGGCGAAGGCCCCCCCCGCCGCGCCGCCGCCGCCUCCUCCCCGCGUCCGCCGCGCCCCUCCCCCGCCGGCCCCUCCCCCGCGCGCCCGCCCGGCGCAGGCCGCUCGGGUUUGUUUUGCUGCGCGGCCGCCGCCGCCGCCGCCGCGGGCCUCGCGAGCUCAUUUGUGCCUGGCUGGUCCCCAUUCCUCUCUCCCCAGUGUUGAGUGUCUGAGCCGUUGGCUGCUCCGAACCGUUUGGCUCUUUCCCUUAGUAACAGCUUUUACCUUCUGCCUCAAUUCCUCUCCCCGCUCGCGCCCUUCCCCCGCGCGCCGCCUCCCCCCGCCGCCGGCCGCGUGCGCCCCCGCCCCUCCCCCCGCGGCGGGAGCACCUCCGCUCGCCACCUGGGGACCCGCGCCGCGCUCCCCGCCCCCGCCCGCCCGGCGCCCAUCCCCCGCGCCCUCCGCUCGCCGGGGUUAUAAUUGCCUCUCACCCCCCGGAGGGGUUAUUUUGGGGGUGGUUGGAGGUGGCGGCGGCGGCGAGGAGGGGAAUUUCCUUGUGCCUCCAUUCCCGGGAGGGGGGAGCGGCGUCGGAGGCCACCGUUUCCAGUUAUCAUCUUUGUGUGUGUUUUCCUUUACUUUGAAAGUAAGGUAAAUUUCCCUUCCCUGUAAGGGAAAAUCUCUUCGGCCUUAUAGUAUAGAUAAGUAAUUUGGUGUUUAGUUUUGCCUGUCCAUGUAUUACUACACCCCCACCCCCACCCCCGCCCCCCAACACACACACAUUUUUCUUCUCUCUGUUCAUCUUGCUCCUCUUUUAUUCUGUUAAGUUUUUCUCAGAUGUUUGGGGAAUCGUGGCUGAUACUGGCGGUUGAAGUGUGUCUGCCUCAGUAAGUAGUUCUUUCUCCACCAGGCCUUUGUGUUGAGUGGUAGUUUUGGUGAUAGAUUCUUAGAUGUGGACCAGCAGACCAGCCCUCCGAGAGAGAGUGGCUGAGGAGUGGGUAAGGUAGUGUGCCUCUCGCCUGCAUAACUGUGGAGUCUUUAAGUAAUGCAGUGGAGUAGUACUUUUUUAGAUUUCACUCAGAUAGUAUUCAGAUUGCUCCAUUGCCCCUCUUUUCUUUGCCUUUUCCCUUUUUCCCCUUUUAUUUCCCUCUUAGUGUUGGAAGCUUGAUGGUCCUUCCAUCUUUCUGCUCUGCUUUUCCCUCAGAUCUGGCUACUCUCAUAAGAAGCCUGACCCAGGCAGAAAUGCCUUCUUUAUGGAGAUCAGCUCCCUGGCUCUAUCUUAAAGGCAGAAGCUGCCACCCCUUGCAUCUCAGUUCACAAAGAGAGGGGGGAGGGGAUCAUCUGUCCAGAGUAGGGUAAUGUAGCCCCCUGAUGAAGUCCCCUAAUUGUUUCCUCCUACUGGGAGUUGUGAUUAAUUUGAUUAUAACUUAGAAUUUCUCUCUCUCGUCCUGGAAAAGACUUUAGUGUCUGACAUAUGAUUUCAUCCUUUUUCCCUCUUUUAUUCCAGUCUUGCCAUUAUAAUUUCUAUAUACCCAGAAUUCUUUAAAAUUUAUGAUUGUCCAGUGAUGUCUUUUCUUGAUCUGCAACGGUGUUAUCAUUUAAAGAUAAUUA